RNAcentral lists this small nuclear RNA (326 nucleotides) under Erinaceus europaeus (western European hedgehog). RNAcentral describes it as "7SK RNA". It matches the Rfam family "7SK RNA". From Rfam's summary of the family: 7SK was discovered as an abundant small nuclear RNA in the mid-70s but a possible function has only recently been suggested. Lineage: Eukaryota; Metazoa; Chordata; Mammalia; Eulipotyphla; Erinaceidae. The record is from Rfam by way of RNAcentral.
GGAUGUGAGGGCAAUCUGGAUGCAACAUCUGUCACCCCAUUGAUUGUCAGGGUUGAUUCAGCUGGUCUGGCUGACUAGGUGGGUGUCCCCUUCCUCCCUCACCACCUCCCUCACCACUCCCUCCCAAAGCUGCGCACUCUGUUAAGAGGAUGGCCUUCCCCGAAUAGAGAAGACCUGUCUUCUGUCCAGCGUGUAAGAGUAGCUGCUCUCCCCUGCUAGAACUUCCAAACAAGCUCUCAGGAAACUUACUUCUCAGGGUGGUUGGUGGUGCACCCUGUUGAACGCACAUGUUACCAUUCACAAGAAUCUGAGUUCAAGCUUUCGGU